RNAcentral lists this ribosomal RNA (448 nucleotides) under uncultured bacterium. Its description in RNAcentral is "partial 16S ribosomal RNA". It matches the Rfam family "Bacterial small subunit ribosomal RNA", at positions 355 to 820 of the family's 1533-position model. The record is from RNAcentral.
UGGGGAAUAUUGCACAAUGGGCGAAAGCCUGAUGCAGCAACGCCGCGUGAGUGAUGAAGGCCUUCGGGUUGUAAAGCUCUGCCUUUUGGGGACGAUAAUGACGGUACCAAAGGAGGAAGCCACGGCUAACUACGUGCCAGCAGCCGCGGUAAUACGUAGGUGGCAAGCGUUGUCCGGAUUUUACUGGGCGUAAAGGAUGCGUAGGCGGAUUUUUAAGUGAGAUGUGAAAUACCCGGGCUUAACUUGGGUGCUGCAUUUCAAACUGGGAAUCUAGAGUGCGGGAGAGGAGAAUGGAAUUCCUAGUGUAGCGGUGAAAUGCGUAGAGAUUAGGAAGAACACCAGUGGCGAAGGCGAUUCUCUGGACCUAACUGACGCUGAGGCAUGAAAGCGUGGUAGCAAACAGGAUUAGAUACCCUGGUAGUCCACGCCGUAAACGAUGAGUACUAGG